This 478-nucleotide ribosomal RNA is filed under the name uncultured bacterium. RNAcentral's name for it is "partial 16S ribosomal RNA". It matches the Rfam family "Bacterial small subunit ribosomal RNA", at positions 28 to 507 of the family's 1533-position model. The record is from RNAcentral.
GAUGAACGCUGGCGGCGUGCCUAACACAUGCGAGUCGAACGGAGUCCAGCCUUUAAGACCUUCGGGUCAAAGAGGGGAAGACUGAGUGGCGGACGGGUGAGUAACACGUGGGCAACCUGGCUCAUAGAGGGGGAUAACAGAGAGAAAUUUCUGCUAAUACCGCAUAAGCACACACUGCCGCAUGGCAGAGGGUGAAAAGAGAAUCGCUAUGAGAUGGACCCGCGUCUGAUUAGCCAGUUGGCAGGGUAAGAGCCUACCAAAGCGACGAUCAGUAGCCGAUCUGAGAGGAUGAACGGCCACAUUGGGACUGAGACACGGCCCAAACUCCUACGGGAGGCAGCAGUGGGGGAUAUUGCACAAUGGGGGGAACCCUGAUGCAGCGACGCCGCGUGAGUGAAGAAGUAUUUCGGUAUGUAAAGCUCUAUCAGCAGGGAAGAUAAUGACAGUACCUGAAUAAGAAGCCCCGGCUAACUACGUG